Molecule: transfer RNA, 135 nt
Filed under: Aureobasidium subglaciale EXF-2481
Lineage: Eukaryota; Fungi; Ascomycota; Dothideomycetes; Dothideales; Saccotheciaceae
Rfam family: tRNA
About the family: Transfer RNA (tRNA) molecules are approximately 80 nucleotides in length. Their secondary structure includes four short double-helical elements and three loops (D, anti-codon, and T loops).
Source: Rfam by way of RNAcentral
GGGCAGAUGGCCGAGUGGUUAAGGCGCUGGCUUUAGGCGGCUUGGCACGCUGUGGACCUCACGGGGCUCAGGUAUGUCAUGCAAGACUUGAAUCGCCAGUUCGAAAGAGCGUGGGUUCGAACCCCACUCUGCUCA